AGUGAACGCUGGCGGUAGGCCUAACACAUGCAAGUCGAACGGCAGCACAGUAAGAGCUUGCUCUUACGGGUGGCGCGUGGCGGACGGGUGCGGAAUACAUCGGAAUCUACUCUUUCGUGGGGGCUAACGUAGGGAAACUUACGCUAAUACCGCAUACGACCUACGGGUGAAAGCAGGGGAUCUUCGGACCUUGCGCGAUUGAAUGAGCCGAUGUCGGAUUAGCUAGUUGGCGGGGUAAAGGCCCACCAAGGCGACGAUGCGUAGCUGGUCUGAGCGGAUGAUCAGCCACACUGGAACUGAGACACGGUCCAGACUCCUACGGGAGGCAGCAGUGGGGAAUAUUGGACAAAGGGCGCGAGCCUGAUCCAGCAAUACCGCGUGGGUGAAGAAGGCCUUCGGGUUGUAAAGCCCUUUUGUUGGGAAAGAAAAGCAGCAGGUUAAUACCCCGCUGUUCUGACGGUACCCAAAGAAUAAGCACCGGCUAACUUCGUG
Molecule: ribosomal RNA, 492 nt
Filed under: uncultured bacterium
Lineage: Bacteria
Description: partial 16S ribosomal RNA
Rfam family: Bacterial small subunit ribosomal RNA
Source: RNAcentral